Molecule: long non-coding RNA, 5320 nt
Filed under: Sus scrofa (pig)
Lineage: Eukaryota; Metazoa; Chordata; Mammalia; Artiodactyla; Suidae
Description: lncRNA (ENSSSCG00025067335.1)
Source: RNAcentral
CUGGCCUAUGCCACAGCCACAGCAAUGUCAGGUCUGAGCUGUGUCUGCAACCUAUACCAUAGCUCACGAGCCACAUGGGAUCCUUAACCUGCUGAGUGAGUGAGUCCAGGGGUCAAACCUGCAUCCUCAUGGAUGCUAGUCAGAUUUGUUUCUGCUGAGCCACGAUGGGAACUCCCUGGAGGCUUCAUUCUGAUUUCUAAUCCUAAUUCUUUAAUUCUGGGCUGCAUUUGGAAGGACCGAAUUUUCAGAUUAUCUACAUAUUUUGAAACAUGUCAACUUGAUAAACAUGGCUUAAAUAACAUAAUAUAAAUAAAUAUAAUUUAAAAUGAACAAAUAAAUUUCCCCCAAACCUAUGGUAAUUAUACUACUCUGGCUCUUGCUCCCUGAAAUACAAGAAACAAAUCCAAUUUUAGAGGAUCAGGAACAAAUGUAUACAACAACUAAUAGAUACUAUUUAUUAGUCGAGUAUAAGAGAAAAUUAUACAUAUGACAAUAAUACAAAUCAUAGCUUAUUGGACAACAUGGAGGAAGGAAAAGCUAGAGUUCGUGCUCACUUUAUAAGAAUUUUAGAAAAACUCAAGUUUCCAAAUUUAGAGAUAAAUUAGAGAGAGAUAAUUUGGAUGACAAAAUAUUAUAACAUGUGAUGUAGAAUAUGUGAUACGUGUAAUACGUAACAUGUGCUUUAUGACAGAACUUAGCAGAGUUCUUUACAACACUAAACCACCUAAAUGAAGUAAAAUAUGAUUUCAAUUUCUAUAUGUCACUAUGUAUUUCUUCAGCAUUACAACAAUGGUUUAAAUAACAUAAUACACCUAAGUCAUUAUAUAAACUAUGGAUAGAACCCCUUGAAUAUCAGAUUCACAAUAAAAAUUCAAAUUUAUCCUUAAAUUACAUCAACUUUCAGUCAUACUGUGUUAUCUGCUUUCAGAAAAGAGACAUCUGAUUUUUUCCUCUCAGGUUGUAUAAUUCUUUUAAUUUUUUGGUUGCGCCCAUGGCCUACAAAAUUUCCAGGCCAGGGAUAGAACCUGUGCCACAGUUGUAACCAGAGUCAUAGCAGUGACAGUGCUGAAUCCUUAACCAAUUGAGCCAUGAGGGAACUCCUCAUAAUUUUUUAUAAUAGGUGAAAAAUAUGCACACACACAUGAUUUUGUUUUGUUUUGUUUCCAUUCAAGUUGAUGACUAAGUUUGCUAGAAGAUUAUCUUUUAGAGUAGAGAAAACAAGAUAACAAAAACAUCUAGAGACACAUAACUUACAGAAAUAGAAUUUAUGACAGUACAUUUUAACUUUAUAUGUAUGGGUGCUUGUGUACAUAAAUGCCUAGGUUCUGAACUGGUUAUAAUAUACUGAAGUCACUUUUGCUACAUUUUUUGAUUAUUUAUAUAAACAAAAACACCCUGAAAAAACAAAUCUUACUCACAGAAAAUACCAAUAUAUCGUUUAGAGCUGCAUCCUAAUGCAUUUAUUAAAAGAAAUGUUCAGGAGUUCCCGUCGUGGUGCAAGUGUUUUCUUUUGCCAUUCCAGGACUUCCCCCUCCUAAGAGCUAACAUUUAUUGUGCUCUUACUAUGUUGAGCCAGGACUCAGCUAAACCUAUUAACCCUCACAACAACCCCUUGUGAGACAGCCUAUUUUAUUCCUAUGAUACAGGUGAGAAAACUACUAGCAUAUAGAAAGUAACUUUGUCAGGGCAAUAUUUGAGAGUUAAAGCUGGGAUUUCAUCACAGACUCCCCCGGACUUCAGAGCCCACACACCACUCAAUGUACCAUUUCUGCAGCCCAAUGACUGGCUUAAAGCACAAGGAAAUUUAGGCUUCGGGAAGUCUGUGUUCUCAUUCCUGCUUCUUUUUAUCAAGAUGGGAGAACCUUGCCUCUGUCACUAGGACUCAGUUUCCUCACCUAUAGAAAGGGGGGAGUUUAAUUCUUAUGUUUACUAUGGCCCCUUAUGACUCAUAUCUUGUCCAUUCCAUCAACUGCAUGAUACAUGGCAAUUGUAUCAAAUUCAGCUCAAUAAGAAAGGGAAGCAUUCAUUGCCUUUUCCUGAGAGCCAAAAAUCCAUUUGCAAAAAGGUAAAAAACAAAGAGCCAGCUCUAGAGAAGUGACAAAGGAGGUACAGAGCUGCCCACCACCUACUAAGAACCCAAAUGACCGUUCCUAUGCAUCUGUGUUGACUGAAUUUAUUUUCACUUUUGAAAGCAGUUCAUUAUGGAAGCAGUUUAUAAAACUGCUGUUCAUCCUUUGUUUGGCCCUCUUGUGUUUUUUCCUUUAAUUCUUCUGCCAGUUAGAUAAACAAAGUUACUUUCCAGAGCUGCUCAAGCACAUCCUUCAGGUGUCUGAACAAGCAGAGGGAAGCCACUUUGUAGCUCAUUCUCUGAAGGUGAGCCCUCCUCCUCCCCAGCAGCCAAGGAAGAUACUAAACACACUGUAUCUCAGGGGAUGCAUUUGGGGGAAAUAUGAUUCCAAGAGAAAGCAGCCUUUGUUACACGGUAUGUUUCUUUCCAAUCACUCUAGGAUGAGAUCAGGAUUAUAAAUACUACACAAGCAACCCUCAGAAGGAGGAGUGUGUGUGUGUGUGUGUGUGUGAAAAUUAAGCAUGUGUAGAAAAGGUUCUUUCUGCAAUGGAAAUCUCUUAUUUUUGCUAUUAAUUAAAGGUGAGGAGCCCUGCUUUCCAAACCACGACCUUGUUUUCAGGUCUGCUCCUACAUAGUCAACGUAACUCUCUUAGGUCUCAUCCCUCUGGAUCUCUGUUUCAUUAUCUACAAAAGGCGUAGUUAGACAAAAACGAUUUCUGAAGACCCUUGUAGUUCUAACAUCCAAUAAUUCUGAAUUUCGCUAAGGCCCCAUCAUUUAAAUUUAUGCUGCUAUCCCAGAUAUUGCCACAAAUGUCUCUUUGGCUAAGGCAGUUUCAUAUAGCUCAGAAUUUCAUGCUCAAUGAAAAACAUAUGUGAAAACAACAACAACAACCCUUUAUUCCUUCCAAUUGAGUUUAAGGAUGAGAAACUCGAGCGUAGAUGGUUCUCUUGGGUAAUCUGCAGUAUGCCCACAUUGCCCUGCUUUGGAAUCCUCCUCUCUUGGGUUAGAACCAGACCGGUUUUGAGAAGAAGUCAAUUGCCUGCCUACAUUUCAUCUGAGUUUGAUUUGAAUGAGAAAAUUGCAAAUAAAACCCAGAAAGAAUUUUUUUGUUAGAAGGCAACAAAUUACUAUAACUAAAAGGUUGUUUGGUCUCUGAAUCAACUUUAUUUCUUGUCUUUUUGCUCUUUUGAAAAUAAAAAAUCUCAUUUCCAGCUCAUAAAGUAGCAUUAGUUCUUAUUAUUCCAUACAUUAGAAGUCAACUGGUAAUUCAUACAAAUUAAAUUAGUGAUUUUGCAUUUAAUUUACUGAUGACAAACUAUAGGAUUCAGCAGUUUUGCUCUGAUAACCUUUAAAAUGUAUUAAUUUCAUCAGUGAUUUACACUGGGCUUUAUUUCCCACUGCUACAGCUUCAUUCUCCAAAGCAGAAAUGCCCCAUGGUUUUUCAAUUUGUUACCUAAUCAGUACAAUAUAUUCCUGCUUUUCUUGCUUUUAUAUUGUCUCCUAAAUUUGAGACUUCAAUAUUUGAAGAAAUUGCACCAAGAAAUCUCACAUGGCUUUUCUAUUUCUAUGAACCUUUAAGGGAAUAAACAGAGAAAAAUGGAUCCUUUGAACUAGGGGUGCUGCUUGCAAACACAGGAGUCUUAAGAUGAUCACAUUCAAAUGAAGUUUUUUUUUUUUUUCUAAAUCAUGAAAUGUGGACAUUUCAGAAAAUAUUUUCACAAAUCCACCUAAAGCUCCUAAUAUCAAUAUAUCAAAAUCUCUGGGAGUUAGACCAAUGACGCUUAUUGGAGUCCUGACAAGAAGUUUCCUGAGGUGAUUCAGAUGAGACAAAAGCUGCUCUCUGCUCCCUAAAGGACCUGUUCUGGCUCGGGACUGAGGCCGUAAAUUCCUUUCCCACUUCCAUUUCCAGGCCAGAGGACCCCAGAUACAAUGGGGGUAAUUCCAGAAUUCAGAAAACCUGGGGCUACAGAGAACUCCAGUUUCUUUAAACUAUUACAACCAUAUACUUUAUGUCUAGUUAAAUCUAUGGGGGAAAAAAAUGACCCUCCUUCAAAACUGAAGAUGGGUUGGCUAAAGGCAGUGAAAUCCAACUAUAAAUUCAAAGUGCAAAUACGGCAUUUUUCCAAAUUCAAUACAACGAACAUACUUAUCUUACAGAAGAGAAAGAUGGCAAAGGGGAUCCAGGAACUACCAAAGCACCCAACACGCAUGCCUGGUGCUCCCUGCUGAGGUGUGGGACAUUUGGCUGGACUAAGGGGACUGGCAUGGGGCACAGAGACUGGGAAGCAAUGAAAGGGCACAGGAAGCUAUGCUGAGAAAGUGGGAGGAGGUUUGGCCAUUUGAAUAGAGCUAUCCACGGACUAACAGACUUAGCGAGUUCAAUAAAAAAGAACCCUGCAGGGGAAUCCUUUGAGGGCUGCUCUAGGGGAACUUGUUUUGAAUGCAAAACUGAAGGCCAAAUACGAUCCCAUGAUCUACAGGACGGAAAUGGUACUCCAGCGCUGCAGUCUAAGUCACUUUAUCCUUUUGACCGCAUUGUCUUUUUAGGUCUACUCUUUGUCAUGUUUGAGCUCUUCUGACAUUGAAUCUGUGACGUAAAAAAUAAAUGACGCACCACACAUUUUAUCCGUAAAAAAUAAGACAUAACAGAAAACUACAAAAUAUUACCUCUAUAUUAUAAAUGUGUCUUUCAUCUAUACAUGUUCCUUAUCAAAGAGAGCUUCUUAGAAAGGUUUGUGUUUUCUUUUACACUGUUUGAUAAAGAAUUCUGUAGUUUUUCCUCUUAAAAGUUUAUUUUGAAAAAGACUCAGGCUUUAUUUGUUUGCUGAUGUUGUGUGACCUUAAAGGCAAACUUGGCUUACUAAAACUUUUUUGUUUUGUUUUGUCUUUUUUAAGGCCACACCUGCGGCAUAUGGAAGUUCCCAGGCGAGCGGUCAAACUGGAGCCUUAGCCACCGGCCUACACCACAACAGCCACAGCAACACAACACAGCAUCUGAGCACCAUCUAUGACCUAUGCCAUGGCUUGUGGCAAUGCUGUAUCCUGAACCCGCUGAGCGAGCCAGGGAUUGAACCUGCAACCAUCCUCAUGGAUGCUAGUCAAGUUCUUAAUCUGAGCUCUGAUGGGAACUCCUAAAGCUUCUUUUUAAUAGUCAUGUUUUCUGGAUUGGUUGCUAUUCUGAAUGAAUAUUAGAAACCAUGCUGUUUCAUUUUUCCCUUUCCAAAUAAUAAUAACAAUCUCUUGAUUGGUAC